RNAcentral lists this ribosomal RNA (484 nucleotides) under uncultured bacterium. RNAcentral's name for it is "partial 16S ribosomal RNA". It matches the Rfam family "Bacterial small subunit ribosomal RNA", at positions 30 to 507 of the family's 1533-position model. The record is from RNAcentral.
AUUGAACGCUGGCGGCAGGCCUAACACAUGCAAGUCGAGCGGAUGAAGGGAGCUUGCUCCUGGAUUCAGCGGCGGACGGGUGAGUAAUGCCUAGGAAUCUGCCUGGUAGUGGGGGAUAACGUCCGGAAACGGGCGCUAAUACCGCAUACGUCCUGAGGGAGAAAGUGGGGGAUCUUCGGACCUCACGCUAUCAGAUGAGCCUAGGUCGGAUUAGCUAGUUGGUGGGGUAAAGGCCUACCAAGGCGACGAUCCGUAACUGGUCUGAGAGGAUGAUCAGUCACACUGGAACUGGGACACGGUCCAGACUCCUACGGGAGGCAGCAGUGGGGAAUAUUGGACAAUGGGCGAAAGCCUGAUCCAGCCAUGCCGCGGGUGUGAAGAAGGUCUUCGGAUUGUAAAGCACUUUAAGUUGGGAGGAAGGGCAGUAAGUUAAUACCUUGCUGUUUUGACGUUACCAACAGAAUAAGCACCGGCUAACUUCGUG